Molecule: transfer RNA, 76 nt
Filed under: Salmonella enterica subsp. enterica serovar Derby
Lineage: Bacteria; Pseudomonadati; Pseudomonadota; Gammaproteobacteria; Enterobacterales; Enterobacteriaceae
Description: tRNA-Val
Rfam family: tRNA (bases 3-70)
About the family: Transfer RNA (tRNA) molecules are approximately 80 nucleotides in length. Their secondary structure includes four short double-helical elements and three loops (D, anti-codon, and T loops). Further hydrogen bonds mediate the characteristic L-shaped molecular structure. tRNAs have two regions of fundamental functional importance: the anti-codon, which is responsible for specific mRNA codon recognition, and the 3' end, to which the tRNAs corresponding amino acid is attached (by aminoacyl-tRNA synthetases). tRNAs cope with the degeneracy of the genetic code in two manners: having more than one tRNA (with a specific anti-codon) for a particular amino acid; and 'wobble' base-pairing, i.e. permitting non-standard base-pairing at the 3rd anti-codon position.
Source: RNAcentral
UUGUGAUUAGCUCAGCUGGGAGAGCACCUCCCUUACAAGGAGGGGGUCGGCGGUUCGAUCCCGUCAUCACCCACCA